GCAGUCGCCGCGGGAAUACGGAGGAUCCAAGCGUUAUCCGGAUUUAUUGGGUUUAAAGGGUGCGUAGGUGGCCUGUUAAGUCAGGGGUGAAAGACGGUAGCUUAACUAUCGCAGUGCCCUUGAUACUGAUGGGCUUGAAUGAACUAGAGGUAGGCGGAAUGUGACAAGUAGCGGUGAAAUGCAUAGAUAUGUCACAGAACACCAAUUGCGAAGGCAGCUUACUAUGGUUUUAUUGACACUGAGGCACGAAAGCGUGGGGAUCAAACAGGAUUAGAUACCCGAGUAGUCCCUGUCUCUUAUAC
This 302-nucleotide ribosomal RNA is filed under the name uncultured bacterium. RNAcentral's name for it is "partial 16S ribosomal RNA". It matches the Rfam family "Bacterial small subunit ribosomal RNA", at positions 508 to 807 of the family's 1533-position model. The record is from RNAcentral.